This is a non-coding RNA of Macaca mulatta (Rhesus monkey), 3561 nucleotides long. The record is from RefSeq and is a predicted model, not a curated record. NCBI's taxonomy places the organism in Eukaryota, Metazoa, Chordata, Mammalia, Primates, Cercopithecidae.
CCGAGCGCGCCGGCCGCGCUUCCCCCGUUGCCGCCUAUUUUAUGUCUUUUGUCUCGGAGUUGGCACCUGUCCCAGAGAGCGCGUUUCCCUGCCCACCCCUUCGCCGCCGGAUCGGAGCGGGGGAGGGAGUACUGGGGACCCAGGGAGGAGGGGACGGGGAAAGCAAGGCGCCUGCGGGCCCCGCAGCCCGCGGAGACCGCCCGAGAGCGGCGGCCGUGCCCGCGCGCCCGGGCACCCCUGUUCUGAGGGGAGAUCGGGGCUGCAACCGCGCCCGGAAUACCAACGAGGCCGCCCGCGGCCCCCGCCGUGCCCGCUGCGGAUCUGCCUAAUGGGAAUGGAGCCGGCAACUUCCUGCUGCCUUGCUUUCUCCGCCAGCCCCUAGCCCACAGUCCAGCCUCAGAAGGCUGAGGGGGGUGCUUCGGUUUAGUUUCUUUUUUCUCAACCGAUCGACAUUUAAUAGUUUAAAUUUUUCAGUAUCCAAGACGUUAGGAGGACUUAGUAAACAGAUGCAUUUAAUCUAAUUAAAGCAAGGACAACGAGUGUGAGUGAAAAAUCACGUUUUCACUCGGGUUCUGAACACUUAGUUGCACAUCCAAGAAUAAUUAUGUUUUUAAAGCCAGCCCAAUAAACUUGAGAUUGCAAGUUUUCCGUGGCUCCUGGAUAAGAUGCCACUUCGAUCAUCCUAGACAAUGUGCCUUUUGAGGAGUUGCUCAGCAGCUUUGGGGACUCUGGAUAAAGGCAAACCAGGCUUAUGAUUUUUUUUUCUUUUGCCUUUGUUUCAAAGUAGUUUGCAGGUUUGAGAGUCCAUUUUGAUAGGCCUGUUUCAUAAUAACAUACGCUCUUACUGCAUGAUGGGUUUAUUUUCACUCUCGGUUAUUUAUACGCAACCUCUAAGCAUCAAUCCGCCUUGGACAAACAUGCGUUUAUAAUUUUCAUAGAAAUAAAACAGCAAAAGAUAAUUCAAAGUCAAUAGGAUCUCAGGCUGGACGAGGAAACGUGAGCAGGCACCCGUGAAAAGGAUUCUUUCCUUCUGACAUGAUGAAGCAUUUUUCAAAAUCUUUUGCUUUAUUUCACUGUUUUUUGUCAAACUUGGCAUUUGUUUACCAGCAACAAUAAUGAAACUCUGACCAGGGAACAAGCCUGUUUAAGGACAAAAGCAUACGCCGGAUACUGCACUAGUGCGCCCCACCCCAAAACAGCAAACCAAAAAAGCCCAGCAUGCUGGCACCAUUUUUUUCUAUCUUCUUUCCUUUCCUUUUCAAUGUAAAGAACAUACUUAAGUGUGCCUGCGUCUGUGAGUCAUGCACAUCGUGCUUUGAUGGUGCCAGCUCCACACGCGUGCAAUCACAUGUCUGGUUCUUAACCUGUGUAAGCAGCGCUUUGCCGCCUUUAACGUGCUUUGGAAGUCUCCACAUUCAUGUUUCAUGUUGCGGCGCCUGCGUAUGUAUCUCAAAAAGAAAUCUAACGACCCCGAAAGCAUUCUUAAAGGGUUAAUUAUUACUUUUCAAUUAAAAGGACCGCAUAAAACAACUAGAAGUCUACGACAGGCGUGUGUUCAAUCAUAUAAGAAUAUAUUGUACAUAAUAUUAAUAAACACAUGCUAGUAUGAAAAAUUUCCCCUUAGGAAUGAGGAAUUACCAUUCCAAAGAAGUAACAACAAAAAUCUGAAAAUAUGUAUUAAGGAUGACGGGCCAGUAUCUCUGAUUAUAUACGCAUCUAUCAAAUGCCAAAGCCAGAUUCUUGACUUUAAAUGAGGAAUGAGAAAAGGCACCAAACUAAAUUUUUUAAAAAUAAAAAUUACCAUUCAAGAAGUGAGUGCUGAAUUAAUUUUAGUCGAUCACGUCUAUAAUUUCUAAAAUUGAAUGAUCAGAAAUUGGGAAAUUAACAUUUUUCUAAAAAGUUUAUGUGCUACUUAUAAUUUUAUCGUACAGAUCUUCAGUAGGCUAGGUAAAUUCCUCUAGAAUAAACAGAAAAAGAAAAGAAAGGAGAAAAAAACUGAUUUCGAAGUCAAAUAGUUGGUUGUUAAGUUGCAAGGGACUGCAGGAAUUUUUACUAAAAUCAAGAUUUCACAGAUUACUUCUUUAAAAUUACUACAACAAACUUAAGCUGCCCACAAAUGGAACUCAUACUGAAAUUGGGAUUUGGUUUUGGGGGACUGUCAAUUACAAGUUGUUUGGAAUUUGACCACACUGGUCUUAUUUAUUGAGAGACUCCCAUUUUAUUUUUAAAAAAUCAAAUGUGACUUCACACAACACAGGUGACUAAUUUAUAUAUAAAAACAGUUUCAUUUUCCUGACUAUGUCCAAGUAUCCUAGCUUUUAGAUCUGGCUAACUUCAAGGUUAAGGUCAGAUUUUUCAUAGGAACCCUUUCUACAGAAAGAAAAGAAGUGUUUUAACUAAACUUAUCACUACAAGACAAUAUUUAAUUGCUGCAAAAAAAAAAAAAAAAAAAAAAAAAAAAAAACGAAGAAAACCAGUGCUUUUUUGUUUCUUGUUAUUUUAUAGGGCAACUUCUGGUAUAGUUCCUAAUUUUAAAAGAACAUGGAAGUUCAUUUUUUUAACUCCCAAAAAGGUGGUAAUGUAAGCACCCAGACAAGAAGGGACACUGACCUUGAAAAUAAAUGUCUAUAUAAUAUUUACAUGAUGAAUAUAUAUUUUUAAAAUUGAUUUCAAAGUAACCUGAGAUGUGGAUAGGUAUUUUCACUCCUAUUUUGCUUGGUUUUCAAUGAUGCACACAAGCAGGGGUUUUUGAAUAUCAUCAAAGGUUUGCAUCUUCGCUAAUAUCUUAUCCAUCAAUUUUUCAACUCCGCAUUCUAAAUAUACUGCAAGAUGCUGCUUCCCAAGCGCUCCUUGCCCGUUGACUUUCUGUCUGAGAGGAGGCAGCGGACCCAGAACCGCACGCUCCUUCCCUCACUCUCUCGACUUCUCCAAAACUGGAAGUCUCUCACACACAGAAUGCCGGAAAUUUAUAGAAGGACUCCAAGGCUCCCUGAGAAACUUCUCGAGUUGGGAAAAACCUUGUCAACGCACACCUGGACCUACAGAUUCGGAAAAAGUAACCGGCUGUAGCCAAAAACCAAACACUCAACCACCGAACACAGUCUGCAAGAAACACAGAGUUCUUUGACGUGACAAGAAGAAUUAUAAAUAAAAUAGCUCCAAGGCAGACAGGCUGAAUGAGCCUUUUAAGACAGCCUGUUGGUGCCUCAAACUUUAAUACUUAGAAUAUCAAAUGUUAGCUCCACGAGGACAGUAUCCUGGGAUAUGUGUGUGUGUACACAUAUGUAUUCGUGUGCAUAAAUGUGUAUACAUAGGCGUGUGUGUAGCGAUAAAUGUUCUGUUGCCUUUACGGCCUGGGGGCUGAUCGAGGGCCUGGUGGAACGUCCCUCGCCCAGAGGAAGGAGCAGGCCCUACCUGCGUUCUCCCUGGGUCACUCCCUUCCUCAUUACACGUACACAAACACCAAAAGCCAGGGAAAGCAUAACUGCUGUAGAUAACAAGGGCAGAUCUCAGAUAGAGAAAAGCUUUCUCUGCAAUAAAGAAUUAUUUUGUGAAUGGUAA